UGGGGAAUAUUGCACAAUGGGCGCAAGCCUGAUGCAGCCAUGCCGCGUGUAUGAAGAAGGCCUGCGGGUUGUAAAGUACUUUCAGCGGGGAGGAAGGGAGUAAAGUUAAUACCUUUGCUCAUUGACGUUACCCGCAGAAGAAGCACCGGCUAACUCCGUGCCAGCAGCCGCGGUAAUACGGAGGGUGCAAGCGUUAAUCGGAAUUACUGGGCGUAAAGCGCACGCAGGCGGUUUGUUAAGUCAGAUGUGAAAUCCCCGGGCUCAACCUGGGAACUGCAUCUGAUACGGGUGAGAUUAAGUCUCGUAGAGGGGGGUAGAAUGCCAGGUGUAGCGGUGAAAUGCGUAGAGAUCUGGAGGAAUACCGGUGGCGAAGGCGGCCCCCUGGACGAAGACUGACGCUCAGGUGCGAAAGCGUGGGGAGCAAACAGG
This 429-nucleotide ribosomal RNA is filed under the name Chloroflexota bacterium. Its description in RNAcentral is "Chloroflexi bacterium partial 16S ribosomal RNA". It matches the Rfam family "Bacterial small subunit ribosomal RNA", at positions 355 to 776 of the family's 1533-position model. Lineage: Bacteria; Bacillati; Chloroflexota. The record is from RNAcentral.